AAAAAAAAAAAAAAAAAAAAAAAAGGGCCCCCCUCCCCCUUUUUCCCAAAUUAAAAACCCCCCCCCCCCCCUUUUUUUCUUUUUUUUUUUUUUUUCAUUUU
RNAcentral lists this non-coding RNA (101 nucleotides) under uncultured Pelagophyceae. The record is from RNAcentral. Lineage: Eukaryota; Pelagophyceae.